This 484-nucleotide ribosomal RNA is filed under the name uncultured bacterium. RNAcentral describes it as "bacterial SSU rRNA". It matches the Rfam family "Bacterial small subunit ribosomal RNA", at positions 30 to 507 of the family's 1533-position model. The record is from RNAcentral.
AUUGAACGCUGGCGGAAUGCUUUACACAUGCAAGUCGAACGGCAGCACGGACUUCGGUCUGGUGGCGAGUGGCGAACGGGUGAGUAAUACAUCGGAACGUGCCCAGUCGUGGGGGAUAACGUAGCGAAAGCUACGCUAAUACCGCAUACGAUCUACGGAUGAAAGCGGGGGAUCGCAAGACCUCGCGCGAUUGGAGCGGCCGAUGGCAGAUUAGGUAGUUGGUGGGGUAAAGGCUCACCAAGCCGACGAUCUGUAGCUGGUCUGAGAGGACGACCAGCCACACUGGGACUGAGACACGGCCCAGACUCCUACGGGAGGCAGCAGUGGGGAAUUUUGGACAAUGGGCGCAAGCCUGAUCCAGCCAUUCCGCGUGCAGGAUGAAGGCCCUCGGGUUGUAAACUGCUUUUGUACAGAACGAAAAGGCUCUGGUUAAUACCUGGGGCUCAUGACGGUACUGUAAGAAUAAGCACCGGCUAACUACGUG